CAGUGUAUUUGAAGCCAUGAUCUGGAGUCAGUGUGUUAGUGACCACU
Molecule: non-coding RNA, 47 nt
Organism: Microcebus murinus (gray mouse lemur)
Lineage: Eukaryota; Metazoa; Chordata; Mammalia; Primates; Cheirogaleidae
Source: Rfam